UUAGUGGCGAACGGGUGAGUAACACGUGAGUAACCUGCCCUUGACUCUGGGAUAAGCGCUAGAAAUGGCGUCUAAUACCGGAUACGAGCUUCAGCCGCAUGGCUAGGAGUUGGAAAGAAUUUUGGUCAAGGAUGGACUCGCGGCCUAUCAGCUAGUUGGUGAGGUAAUGGCUCACCAAGGCGACGACGGGUAGCCGGCCUGAGAGGGUGACCGGCCACACUGGGACUGAGACACGGCCCAGACUCCUACGGGAGGCAGCAGUGGGGAAUAUUGCACAAUGGGCGAAAGCCUGAUGCAGCAACGCCGCGUGAGGGAUGACGGCCUUCGGGUUGUAAACCUCUUUUAGUAGGGAAGAAGCGAAAGUGACGGUACCUGCAGAAAAAGCACCGGCUAACUACGUGCCAGCAGCCGCGGUAAUACGUAGGGUGCAAGCGUUGUCCGGAAUUAUUGGGCGUAAAGAGCUCGUAGGCGGUUUGUCGCGUCUGCUGUGAAAUCUGGGGGCUCAACCCCCAGCCUGCAGUGGGUACGGGCAGACUAGAGUGCGGUAGGGGAGAUUGGAAUUCCUGGUGUAGCGGUGGAAUGCGCAGAUAUCAGGAGGAACACCGAUGGCGAAGGCAGAUCUCUGGGCCGUAACUGACGCUGAGGAGCGAAAGCGUGGGGAGCGAACAGGAUUAGAUACCCUGGUAGUCCACGCCGUAAA
RNAcentral lists this ribosomal RNA (700 nucleotides) under Frigoribacterium sp. Its description in RNAcentral is "bacterial SSU rRNA". It matches the Rfam family "Bacterial small subunit ribosomal RNA", at positions 92 to 806 of the family's 1533-position model. Lineage: Bacteria; Bacillati; Actinomycetota; Actinomycetes; Micrococcales; Microbacteriaceae. The record is from RNAcentral.